UUUAAAGUUAAUUACUUUAUUUUUAGGGUUCUUCCCAGUUCCUCUUCCCUAAACUCAAAGCAGGUAAGUAAUUGUUUCUUUCAUUUUUGUUGUUUUAUUAAUAAUUUUGUUCUUUGAAACUGUUUUAAAGAAAACCCUCUUUUCACUAUCCCCUUUCUUUUUAGGGUUCUUACUUAAUUCGAAUAUGUGAAUAUUCUGCCAUUUCUUCUUAGUUCUAAUCGACCCUAAAUAGAUUCUUACUGAAGAUGAAUGUGAAUUUUUGUGGAAUUUCUUGCUUGUGAACUGAAAUGGGGAUUUAGACUGUUAAUUGUUAAGUGUGAAGUGAUAGACAUUGGAAAUUUGGAACCCUCUUAUAACAACCACUGAAUUUACACUAUGGGACCAUUCUAUAAUGGAAAUUUGCCAAACUAACAACAUGAAAUUGUAAAAUUUGCAAAAUAACCACAUUGAAUUUACACUCUGCGACCAUUCGCAAAACGAUUGUAAUAGAUGUUUUAUGGUUGCACAGUGUAGUUUCAGGCAGUAAUAGAGCUUUUGAACACUCUUUUUUAAUGUGGUCAGAUUCAUUGUUAUUGUAGAUUUUUAUAAUUUAAUCUUAAUCUAUAUCAUUCUCUCUCUCUCUCUCUCAAUUUUACUCAUUUGGUUGUUUGUUGUGCCAUCAUCAUUGUUUUUGUUCCCGUAGUUGUGAAAAUUCCAAUGGUUUGAUGACCACAUAUGCUCAAUUUUAGCAUCAGGGUGAUUUAUUUUCACAGCUUUGUUUCUGCUUAUCUUAGAAUCUCUUGUUAAAAAUAAUAGGUGAUUACAAUUAUUGCUAGAACAUCUUGACUUACUUUGAUCUAUUGCAUUUCUUCUAAAUGCAGCUUUUCAAGGUUUUUUUUGUAAGGGUAGCUUUACGAGUUGAGAUAGAGAUAUAUUGUGCUGUCAGAGAUUUGGAUAGGAAAAUGUCUACGAAAUUGACUCAGAAAUUGUUAUACUAAUCUUACAAUGGCCAAAGCAAGUGUAAUGAGAGGAGUCUCUUUUAAUCUUCUUCGGAAUCAGUCGCCAAUUUUCCCGAACCAAGAUUCUCAAUCAUUCUCAACAAUCCCAAUCAAGAGCAAUUCCAGGCUCCCUCAACAAUCCCAUUACAGGAAUCAAAUCUCCAUUGCUAAUCUGCUUCAAAGGUAUGGCUUCCCGUCUUCUUUGCUCCACAGUUUUCUCUCAAAGAACAAUCGUUUUUUACUGCAGAUGAACCUAAAGGACAUGGAAAAGUCCCUUGGUAUUCUUUUCAGCUUCAAAAUUCCCCAAAAUGAACUUGUAUCUUUGGUCUGUGAAUGUCCUGGUGUUUUGGAUUGCCAUUUUCUUAAUAAUUGGGAAAUGAGUUUUUCACAAUUGGGGCUUUCGACGGUUUCUCCAUCGAUGGUUAGGAGUGUUUUAGAACAUUCUAGAAAGUAUCACUUAGACCCUAAUGGUUUUUUCAAAACCCUUGUUGUUUUGAGGGGUAUGGGGUUUAACAAUGCUACUCUGAGUAGGGUUUUAGAAGGUUUUCCCGAGGUGACUUUGAUGAACGAGAGUGAAAUUCGAAGGAGAGUUGAAUUCUUGAUGGCUGGGAUUCCCAUGUCAGCAGAAGGAGUUGAUUGGAUUCUGCAUUCCUUCCCGGAGGUGUUAGGGUUCGGGGUGGAAGAUAGGUUGAAGCCAUUGAUUUCUGAGUUUAAAGCGCUGGGGUUUGAUAAUGAUUUGAUAAGCAGAGAAAUUAGUAGAGACCCAAGAAUUCUCAGUAUGGAAUUAGGCGAACUUUCGCGGUGUUUUGAAUUAUUGAGGAGUUUGAAAUGUAGAGUGGCAAUCCUGGAGAAGAUCUAUAGUGAGGGUGAGUUUAGAGCAGGCUUUGAAGUGAAGUUGAGAGUUGACUACUUUUGCAAGCAAGGUUUGACUCGCAGAGAGGCCUUUGAAGUGUUAUGGAAGGAGCCGAGAUCAAUUGUGUACAAGAUGGAAGAAGUCGAAAAGAAAGUCGAUUUUUUAGUGAAUAGGAUGAAAUUCAACAUUCGUUGCUUGCUUGAUGUUCCAGAGUAUGUUGGUGUGAAUUUCGAUAAGCAGAUAGUUCCUCGGUUCAAUGUAAUUGAGUAUUUAAGAUCAAAAGACGGGCUUGGUUCUUUAAUUGGUUUACGAGCACUGAUCAAGCCUAGUAGACUGAAGUUCUACAACCUUUAUGUGAAGCCUUAUCCGGAGUGUCUGAAGUUUUUCGGGAGGUAUUCAGAUGAUGUUGAAGUCAAAAGCCAACAACCAGUUGGAUUAUGGAAGAUUUUGAAACCACAGAGCAAACCAGCAACCAAAGAAGAUGUGGAAAACAUGAAAGUGUUUAUGAAAUUAUAAUGGUGCUGUCAUUGGCUAGAGGCUGUUAAGAAUUCUGUUUUUAAUCUAUUCUUGACUCCCUCUAAAUGUUUCCAUAAAUGGUUUUGUACUUGUGUAUUAUUAUUGUGUGGUAAAUAUGUCCUCAAGCUCUUGGAAAACCUAUCUCUUACUUUCAUUUUCUUAGAUUAUUCUUUGUUAUUUUAAGAGUUCUUUGUGUGAAGAUUAAGGCUUUCAAACCUUGUUAUUCAAUUUUUUAACAAAUUUUUUAA
Molecule: RNA transcript, 2594 nt
Organism: Cannabis sativa
Lineage: Eukaryota; Viridiplantae; Streptophyta; Magnoliopsida; Rosales; Cannabaceae
Gene name: transcription termination factor MTERF15, mitochondrial
Exons: 2
Source: RefSeq, a predicted model, not a curated record